UACAGAGGGUGCGAGCGUUAAUCGGAAUUACUGGGCGUAAAGGGCGCGUAGGCGGCUUGAUAAGUGAGGUGUGAAAGGCUUGGGCUUAACCUGGGCAUAGCAUUUUAGACUGUUGAGCUGGAGUAGGGUAGAGGGAAGCGGAAUUUCCGGUGUAGCGGUGAAAUGCGUAGAUAUCGGAAAGAACACCGGUGGCGAAGGCGGCUUCCUGGACUUAUACUGACGCUGAGGCGCGAAAGCAUGGGUAGCAAACAGG
RNAcentral lists this ribosomal RNA (253 nucleotides) under uncultured bacterium. RNAcentral describes it as "partial 16S ribosomal RNA". It matches the Rfam family "Bacterial small subunit ribosomal RNA", at positions 524 to 776 of the family's 1533-position model. The record is from RNAcentral.